GUCCAGCUUGUCGACCAUCAGGGAGUCCUUCGACUCAGUGCUCUAAGUAGAAAUUUGGAAGCACUGCCGAGCGAGUUGUUGAUCCCCGCAUAUCUCUCCAGCUCCAUUUUUAGUCAGGAACCGAACCAGUAGAUGGUACAUCGAGACUAUCGCUCUGAAGGCAUUUAGCUUGGCCUUCCAAGUAUGGCGUUGUACGUCGAAGGU
Molecule: long non-coding RNA, 204 nt
Filed under: Elaeis guineensis (African oil palm)
Lineage: Eukaryota; Viridiplantae; Streptophyta; Magnoliopsida; Arecales; Arecaceae
Description: long non-coding RNA (EGUI_LNC080124)
Source: RNAcentral